Molecule: ribosomal RNA, 1509 nt
Filed under: uncultured Bordetella sp.
Lineage: Bacteria; Pseudomonadati; Pseudomonadota; Betaproteobacteria; Burkholderiales; Alcaligenaceae
Description: partial 16S-23S ribosomal RNA intergenic spacer
Rfam family: Bacterial small subunit ribosomal RNA
Source: RNAcentral
CUCUGGGAGCAUCGUUGCUCUUCGAAGAGUUCGGUCAUGGCUCAGAUUGAACAUGGCGGGGAUGCUUUACACAUGCAAGUCGAACGGCAGCACGGACUUCGGUCUGGUGGCGAGUGACGAACGGGUGAGUAAUGUAUCGGAACGUGCCACAAUGCGAGGAUAACUAAGAAAGCGUAGCUAAUACCGCAUACGCAUCGAGGAAAGCCGGGGGACCUUCGGGCCUCACUAUUAAACUGGCCGAUAUCGAUUAGCUAGUUGGUGAGUAGCAGCUCACAAGGCGACGAUCCGGCAGCUGGUUUGAGAGGACGACCAGCCACACUGGGACUGAGCCAGCCCAGACUCCUACGGGAGGCAGCAGUGGGGAAUUUUGGACAAUGGGGGAAACCUGAUCCAGCCAUCCCGCGUAUUACAUUGAAGGCGCUGGGUUGUAAAACGCCUGGCAGGAAAGAAACGGCACGGGAUAAUACCCGUGCAACUGACGGUACCUGCCAGAGGCUUCUGCUUUCGGCUAACUACAUGCAGCAACCGCGGUAGCCACGUAGGGUGCAAAAGCGUUAAUCGGAAUUACUGGGCGUAAAGCGUGCGCAGGCAGUUCGAAGAAAGAUCUUGAAAUCCAAGAGCUUAACUUUGGAACUGCAUUUUUAACUACCGAGCUAGAGUAUUGUCAGAGGAGGUGGAAUUCCGCGUGUAAGCAGUGAAAUGCGUAGAUAUGCGGAGGAACACCGAUGGCGAAGGCAGCCUCCUGAGAUAACCCGCGACGCUCAUGCGGCGUGAGGAGCAAACAGGAUUGAAUGCCUGGUAGUCCACGCCUGAAACGUGUCCUUCAAGCUGUUGGGGCCUUCCGGGCCUUGAAGUAGCGCAGCUAACGUGAAGUUGACCGCCUGGAAAUGCAGUCAACAAAGUUGAAGAAACUCAAAGGAAUAUGACGAGGACCCACCCGCAAGCGGUGGAUGAUGUGGAUUAAUUCGAUGCAACGCGAAAAACCUUACCCUUUAUGACAUGUCUGGAAUCCCGAAGAGAUUUAGUGCUCGCAGAGAACCGGAACACAGGUGCUGCAUGGCUAGCUCGUCAGCUCGUGUCGUGAGAUGUUGGGUUAAGUCCCGCAACGAGCGCAACCCUUGUCGCUAGUUGCCCCGAAGAACACUCUAAUGCAGAACUGCCGGUAAAUAAACCAAGGAGGAAGGUGGAAUUAGCGUCGAAGUCCUCAUGGCCCUUAUGGGUAGGGCUUCACGUCAUACAAUGGUCAGGACAGAGGGUCGCCAACCCGCGAGGGGAGCCAAUCCCAGAAACCCGAUCGUAGUCCAGAUCGCAGUCUGCAGCUCGACUGCGUGAAGUCGGAAUCGCUAGUAAUCGCGGAUCAGCAUGUCGCGGUGAAUACGUUCCCGGGUCUUGUACACACCGCCCGUCACACCAUGGGAGUGGGGUUUACUGCAAGUAGUUAGCCUAACCGUAAAGGAGGGCGAUUACCACGGUGGAUUCGCAUUGACUGGUGAAGUCGUAACAAGGUAG